Molecule: long non-coding RNA, 2483 nt
Filed under: Daphnia pulicaria
Lineage: Eukaryota; Metazoa; Arthropoda; Branchiopoda; Diplostraca; Daphniidae
Description: uncharacterized LOC124337619, transcript variant X4
Source: RNAcentral
GAUGGGUCAUCAAACUGUCAAAGUGAUGAGGCGUCUGACGAAACAGUCUUCCAGUCUUGCUGUUGAAAAGGUGUCCGAGCAGGUUGAAUUUAGUCAUUGUUGGGUACUUUCUUACGUCAUUACGUGACAUUUUUUAUCACAGACAUGCAUUGCCUUUAAUUCAUAAUUGGCAAUUGCAUGUGACCUGCUGUACAUUUCUACAAUGUCGUCUCUUGCUGCAUGUUGCACGUUUCGUUCCAUGCAGAACAAUAAAAAUUGAGUAGUAAGGUCUGAGCUUCAUUGCAUUUUGUUUUGCAAAUUGUUUCAAUUGAGUUAUGCCACGAGCUUUUGCAGACAUUCAAUUUUCUUGAUAGAAAACUUGAGUGGGUUAGCAUUUGUCUAAAUUUGAGUCUACUCGAAAGUUAUAGGGUUCCUUAGUUUGAUGUUGGAACUGCCAAUGGUGUUGAUGCAGCGUUCAUAAUGUGAGCAGUGGUUUUGCCGUCAUUUUCCAGUUGAGAUGUCUUGAAAUGGAGCUUGUGCAGACACUCAGUUCAACAUAGUAUUUCAAUGAGAUUUACCUAAUGUUGGUGUUCUUGCAGUGUUGAAUGGUUGUGCAAAAUAGUUGAAGUUGCCUGGUGGCUGUCGGACAUGUUUUAUCGGCUGCCUUUUGUCGAUGUGUCGUCUCGUCUCUUGCCACCUGUACACACGUUAAGUAAACUAUGGCGUCGUGCUGCUGUUGAUUGUUUUUAAAUACCACAUCAUCGAGGCUCCAGAUUAUUACACUACAACUUAUGCUGCUCCGAACUGCAUCACCAAAGGGCCCGUGUACACUGUACACCAUGGCUCCGUAGUACUACACCACCAAAUCACCGAAGUACUAACGGCUACUUAUGCUGCGCCACCUUCUGAACCGCGACUCACUAAGUCCCUGGAGUACUACACCACAACCUACGUUGCUCCAGCUAACUACAUCGUAUUUCCUAAGUACUACACCACCAAGGCACCUGUGUACUACACCACUACGUGUGCAACAUCAACCCACUUCAUCGAAACUUCAACGGCUGACAACUACGCCGAAGCGCCUAACUACUACAAUGCUUCAAGUUACACAACCACAACUGAGGUAGCGGAGUACUUCAUAGCUUCGAAUUACUACACAGCUGCUUCUUCGUACUACGUUAACUAAAAUACUGCACGGAGACUUCAGUUUACUACACCGCAACCUACGCUAUAACUACUACACCGCAACCUACGCCAUAACUACUACAGCGAAGCUCCAAAGUACUGCAUCGAAAAGGUCGAAACGAAACGUCGUACUGCAUCAAAAACGUACGGUGCUCCAGUCUACUACACCGAGGAACUCGAUAAAAGGAGGGAAAAGGCGAAAGAAAAUAGUCGAUGGAUUAUCUCCAACACGGCAACAGUAAAUACAGUGAACUAUUUGUCAUCAACUUUAUUCUUUGUCGUAUACUAGUUUGCAAUCAUGGGGAACUAUGGGGUCAUGCUGCUGUUGGAUGUAUCGAUGAUGGCUGGGUCGACCACUGGUGUACUAAUGUUUCCUGUGUAUGGUGGAUAUCAAGCGACAGCAGCGAAAGAAAAGUACACUACGUCGCCGCCUUACUACACAACGUCAACAUGAGCAACACCACUUACUAAACUAAGAGGCUCUUAAAUACUGCACUACCAAGGCUUCCGAAUACAACACGAAAAUUAUGCUGCCCCGAGCUUCUACACCGAACUAUUACUCUGCCCCGAGUUACAUCACGAAAGCGCCUGAGUACUACAGUGAGUCUUCCAAGUUCUACACCAUCAAAGCUCCAAGCUACUACACCGAGGCUAAAGCUUAAUACUACACCGAAGCGGUCGAAUACUACACCGAAGCGUCCAAGAACUGCACUACAACCUUCUGCAGCUCUCUAUCUGUCACCAACUACCUUCUUCAUUGUAUAAAAUCGGUUUCUAAUCUUAGAUAGCGCUGAAGGUUGGGUUGAUCACUGGUGUAUUGAUGUUUCCUGGAUAUGACUGAUACCGAACCACUACAUCGCUGCCACGCUACACAACAACGAGGUCUCCAAGUACUACACUACUGUAGGACAGAAUACUACAAAAUUAUGUAUGCUGCUUCUGCCUACUACACCAAGGCCCCUUAUCCCCUACUGGUGGUCUACUGAAAUAUUAUGUCUGUUUUGUGUUCCAUCAGUGUAGUGUAUAAUUCAGACUAUUUGAUGGUGUUUUGUUUCCCAAUGUGGUGUGUUGCAGCUCAGGUUGGUGAAAGUUCUUUGACAUGAAGUUAUAACUGCGGUUGUCUCGAGCGAGGUCAUUUACUGGUCAUCUACUAAGGUUAUUUACUGUAUACUUGAAACUUAAACCUUUUCCAAUGUGGUGUGUUGCAGCUCUGGUUGGUGAAAAUUCUUUGACAUGAAGUUAUAACUGCAGUAUUCAAGCAAUGUUAAAGUUAUUUACUGUAUACUUGAAACUUAAACAUGUUGAAUUUUGAAACUUAA